This 201-nucleotide ribosomal RNA is filed under the name uncultured Comamonadaceae bacterium. Its description in RNAcentral is "partial 16S ribosomal RNA". It matches the Rfam family "Bacterial small subunit ribosomal RNA", at positions 1319 to 1519 of the family's 1533-position model. The record is from RNAcentral. Lineage: Bacteria; Pseudomonadati; Pseudomonadota; Betaproteobacteria; Burkholderiales; Comamonadaceae.
CGUGAAGUCGGAAUCGCUAGUAAUCGUGGAUCAGAAUGUCACGGUGAAUACGUUCCCGGGUCUUGUACACACCGCCCGUCACACCAUGGGAGCGGGUUCUGCCAGAAGUAGGUAGCCUAACCGCAAGGAGGGCGNUUACCACGGCAGGGUUCGUGACUGGGGUGAAGUCGUAACAAGGUAGCCGUAUCGGAAGGUGCGGCU